AGUCUUCAAGCGUGCGAGACGAGGGACCAUCCAUUACUUCGAAGAUUUGAAAAUUUAAACGUCUAACGAGAUUUGUUGCUGCGACGAUUUGUGUUGGUAGCCAACUAGCUACGGGCACGGGCGUGCGAAGUGUGUAUCGUCGCAGGCACCCAUCGUCGGCAGGACGCACGCUCUCGGCAGGAUCCAGCUAUCAGUUGAGAUAUUGAGUGAUCGCGAUCACGAUAAACAGUCUCUCGCGAUUGCGUCUUCGAUCGCGUAUCGAACGCACCGUGUGUACAAUCUGGUGCAGAGUUGGAAGGUAGUUUUUUUCCGCAAAUUUUCCGUUCGUUCAAGGGUCAGAUAAGGGCAACAUGGCGACCAUGGCCAGGAGAUUGUGAUAAAAUAAACAAAUCGUAUCUUAUAUGAUUUAAAACUCUGAAAGAGAGAGAGAGAGAGAGAGAAAGAAAGAUAAAUGAAAUGAAGACACGUUAAAUCUGAAAUGACGAAAACGUUUGGAAACUAAGCUUUAGAAAAGCGUACAUCUUGCACAGGCAAAGUUAUAUAUGUAAAAUUAAUAUAAGUAACUCAAUUUUGAGAUUAAUCAGUUUAAUAACAGUUGAUUAAAAUCAUACAGGCUAUUUUUAUUUGCCUCAUAUGAAUGUUUUUCUCUAAUAGAAUGCUAAGUCAUGUGAGCGUGAAAUUAUUGUUCGCUAAGUGUAGUCAUUAAUUUACAUUAAAAUUUGUUUUUGCAACUCUGUAUAUUUCACAUACAUAUAUAUUUAUAUAUAUUUAUAAAUUCUGUGACAAGGGAUAGACAGAGUUAAUUGUAGUGUCUCAUCAUUUCUGAAUUCCCAAUUUCAUUACCAUACAGUCUCGUCUCCUUGUAGCUGAAUUAUGAUCUUGUUGAAUUUUAGAUUUACAUUGUAAAAUCUCAAAAGAUACAAUAUAAUAUCUUGCAAAACUGCACUAAAAAGAUAAAAAAAUA
This is a long non-coding RNA of Solenopsis invicta (red fire ant), 964 nucleotides long. RefSeq lists it as uncharacterized. NCBI's taxonomy places the organism in Eukaryota, Metazoa, Arthropoda, Insecta, Hymenoptera, Formicidae. The transcript has 2 exons. The record is from RefSeq and is a predicted model, not a curated record.